This 1035-nucleotide ribosomal RNA is filed under the name Bacillus pumilus. Its description in RNAcentral is "bacterial SSU rRNA". It matches the Rfam family "Bacterial small subunit ribosomal RNA", at positions 41 to 1060 of the family's 1533-position model. Lineage: Bacteria; Bacillati; Bacillota; Bacilli; Caryophanales; Bacillaceae. The record is from RNAcentral.
GGCAUGCUAUACAUGCAAGUCGAGCGGACAGAAGGGAGCUUGCUCCCGGAUGUUAGCGGCGGACGGGUGAGUAACACGUGGGUAACCUGCCUGUAAGACUGGGAUAACUCCGGGAAACCGGAGCUAAUACCGGAUAGUUCCUUGAACCGCAUGGUUCAAGGAUGAAAGACGGUUUCGGCUGUCACUUACAGAUGGACCCGCGGCGCAUUAGCUAGUUGGUGAGGUAACGGCUCACCAAGGCGACGAUGCGUAGCCGACCUGAGAGGGUGAUCGGCCACACUGGGACUGAGACACGGCCCAGACUCCUACGGGAGGCAGCAGUAGGGAAUCUUCCGCAAUGGACGAAAGUCUGACGGAGCAACGCCGCGUGAGUGAUGAAGGUUUUCGGAUCGUAAAGCUCUGUUGUUAGGGAAGAACAAGUGCAAGAGUAACUGCUUGCACCUUGACGGUACCUAACCAGAAAGCCACGGCUAACUACGUGCCAGCAGCCGCGGUAAUACGUAGGUGGCAAGCGUUGUCCGGAAUUAUUGGGCGUAAAGGGCUCGCAGGCGGUUUCUUAAGUCUGAUGUGAAAGCCCCCGGCUCAACCGGGGAGGGUCAUUGGAAACUGGGAAACUUGAGUGCAGAAGAGGAGAGUGGAAUUCCACGUGUAGCGGUGAAAUGCGUAGAGAUGUGGAGGAACACCAGUGGCGAAGGCGACUCUCUGGUCUGUAACUGACGCUGAGGAGCGAAAGCGUGGGGAGCGAACAGGAUUAGAUACCCUGGUAGUCCACGCCGUAAACGAUGAGUGCUAAGUGUUAGGGGGUUUCCGCCCCUUAGUGCUGCAGCUAACGCAUUAAGCACUCCGCCUGGGGAGUACGGUCGCAAGACUGAAACUCAAAGGAAUUGACGGGGGCCCGCACAAGCGGUGGAGCAUGUGGUUUAAUUCGAAGCAACGCGAAGAACCUUACCAGGUCUUGACAUCCUCUGACAACCCUAGAGAUAGGGCUUUCCCUUCGGGGACAGAGUGACAGGUGGUGCAUGGUUGUCGUCAGCU